This 2660-nucleotide long non-coding RNA is filed under the name Cricetulus griseus (Chinese hamster). RNAcentral's name for it is "lncRNA (ENSCGRG00015027054.2)". The record is from RNAcentral. Lineage: Eukaryota; Metazoa; Chordata; Mammalia; Rodentia; Cricetidae.
CCCCGCCUCUGCCCCCCCUCUCUCUCUCUCUGCAGCCUGAGCUCUGAAGUAAGUAAGGAGCAGAGGUCUCCAUGACUUGCGUCUAUACCUUCUUUCUGGCAGGUAGCUUGGGAAUUCGAAGGCAUAUUUUGCUUCCCUCUCGGCUCUUGCAUUCCGAAUUGAGUUGUCAGUCAUCUGGUUUCUAGGUGAAAAGUUACUGCUAUUUUGUAUGUCUGUGAACUUCAUGAAAAGUCUGGCCACGUGGCAAGCACCAGGACAGGAAAUAUGGGGUGCACCCAUCUCACAACGAUGCACAGGAACUCCAUGAGCCUGUGAGAUUGAAAGAUCUACCAGAGUCCGUUGCCAGGUUUGGCUCUGUCUGCGGUGAAAUGUGGGGCCCAGGAGGAAACAGGAAUGGAUCUUCUCAGCUAUACUCGAUGACUCUGCCGAGAUUCCACCUGGAAGCUGCACUCAGCUCAGAGCUCCUAAUUACCAGCCAGCACGCAGGGUUCAACCUUCUUUAAAAAGAGGAGGAGGAGAUCCUUACAGAUCAGAGCAAAACUUGGAAGGCUGCUACAGCAAAGCUCUUAACCCAGCGCCAGGUUCCCCACUGGCUGACUUGGGCAGUUUGGGCUGCUAUGGAAAUGUGCUUUAGCCUCAACAGCUUAUGAACAACACAAAGACACCACUCUCCAUGCCAGAGGCUGGGACCCGAAGAGCUAAGCGCUGGUAGAAUAGGAGGCCAGAAGACAGUCUCCUGAGACUGGAGUUACAUGUGGUUGUGAGAUACCCAGCAUGGGAACCAGAAACCACCUUUUAGUCUUCCGCAGCGGCAGUGUGCAGGAGGAACUGUACCUGGUCACCCCGCCUGAAACAUCAUCCCACUGCUCUCCCACUACUGUGCUCCACACAGCUGGGGUGCUGGACCCUGAUAGAGACUCUGAGGGAGUGAAGAAAAGAGAGACACACAGGAAAGCUGGGAUCCAGUGAGGACUUGGCUACCUCCAGCAACCUGGAACUUCAGUGUUGUUUUUAUGUGGUUUUUGUUUUGCAAAGCACAGGGGCGGAGUUAGCUAGCCUCAGUAGGAGGUGUCUGUCUCUGAGCAUCUCAGGAUGUAAACAUCUGGAAGAAGAGGAAGCCACCAAUUUUCAUACAGACUGGUUACCCUCUCACUCUCAGACUCCCAAGGAAAGCUUUGCCAUCUCCUUGAGCCUGAUCCAAGUAAGGCUUUGCCACUCGGGUGGGGCUAAGGCAUUGGAACACUUGAUGUGGCAGUGCCCGUGUGAACAGUACACACUCACUCAGGACUUCUCAGGGCUCUCUCUGCUCCUGACACCCCAGCCCCUACUUUGUUUUUAAGCAUAUUUUUUUGUCGAUUCUUUAAGAAUUUUAUAUCAUGCACCCCAAUUCCACUCAUUUCCCAAUUCUUCCAUUUCUGCCUUCUACCCUUGUAACAUCCCCUCAAAGGAAAAAAAAAUCUCACUGAUCCCUCUAGGCAGGACCUGCUUCCCAAUCUAUCAAUCACAGCCUUCUCACGCCUGUCACAGCUGUUGUGUCUCCAGUUCCUCUGUGCAUGGACCAUUCUGCUCCUCCAUCUUUCCUGCCUCUCCAUCACAUAUUUGCCAUUGGGAUCUGUGGUGUGUAACACAGUAGACCCUUUUGCCCAAACAGCUUUACAUGCAAACACUCAUUGCAAUGAGUCAUUGGUCUGCUUCAAGGCCUCUGGCUGUUGCUACACCAUCAGUACCAGACCUUCAUCCAGACUCCUCUCAGAUAUCCUACUGUUGCCCCAAGUCAUAGAGAUCCUCAGCUAUGGUCACGAAGGACCAGCCCUUCACUUGAUCCAGCAAGCUCAUAAAUGGGGUGGAUAUUGGGGUGGACCAACUCAAAAUCCUGGGAUGUGGGCUUGGGUGGUAGAUGAGUUGGUCAGCCCACAAGUUCUUCCAUGAAGAAACCACUGGGGCCAGCUCUCCCAUCCUGCUCAGGUGAGGGGCAGAGCCAGCUCUCCUGCAUGUGAUGGCCAGAGAGGGGCAGGACCAACUCUGUAUAUCCCUAGGACACCAACAUGACUUCAAGUGUCAGCCCAGACCACGGACAUCUGCAUAGCCUUUGGUGGCAGCAUGGGCCAUGGACAUCAACAUAGACUCAUAGACAGCUGUGUGUGGCAAGGCCAUGGACCCAGACAUGGCCCUCGUCAGCAGCACAGGCCUGGGUAUCACCAUGACCUCAGGUGGCAGCACAGGCCAGCAUCAGGCUGUUCCUUACCACCCUUGUGUCUCCAGUUUGGCCUUUCUUCACAGUACACAAACCACUCUACUUGCUUUCUCUCCCCUCUCUCUACCACAUACUUGCUCAUUGUUGUGGCACUUGCCUGUUUUGUUAUUUUUUUUAAAGAGUUGUUUCCAGUAUCUAAAAUCAUUAUAUUAUUGAAUUAUUACGUUCCUUUCUGUCUGUUCUGGUUUGAAUGCAAACUCCUAAAGGAUAGAAAAUUUAUAUGUUCUGUUCAGUAUCCUCAUCACUUCCUGGACACUGAUAGUAUAUGCAAAUAUUAGCAAAGUAAAUUUACUUUUUUUCAAAUAGGGAAGACUUACAGAUUGCAUGUGUGGUUUAUGUCUUCAGCAUAUUCUCUCUGCCCCUCUCUCCCCCCCUUGUGUGUGUGUGUGUGUGUGUGUGUGUGUGU